This is a long non-coding RNA of Xenia sp. Carnegie-2017, 939 nucleotides long. RefSeq lists it as uncharacterized. The record is from RefSeq and is a predicted model, not a curated record. Lineage: Eukaryota; Metazoa; Cnidaria; Anthozoa; Malacalcyonacea; Xeniidae. The transcript has 3 exons.
ACUUCACUAAUGUUGCACUUAGCCUUGCUGAAUGACAUUAAACCAGAAGUUGCUAUCUAAGAAAUCAACCCAUUGCAAAAAAGCCUAAAAUUGAUUCUGCAAAAGAAGUUGUUGCUAUGGAUAGUGAACAUUAUUAUUUGCUCAAAGAGAAGGAACCUAACUUAAGUGACAUUUGUAUUUUGUCAAGGAAAGCCACAAAAAUGUGAGUUGGUAGCUCUUCACUACUGUUUAUUGUUACAAGCCACGAUGCAAUGACCUGAUUAGGGCCAAAUCGUUUUUGGUAGAUACGAUUUUGCUCGAAAUAUAGCGUGCGUGUGUAUCCAGCGACCAACUUGCUUUCUAUCAUAGUCUGCACUUCGAUUGAAAGCCUGAUGUAAGGAACCCAAAGCGAAAGAUGAUUUAUCUUAAAUUUUCCAGCACCAACCCCAUUUGCUCUAUGAAGUAUGUUUUCAGCAGUGUCGCAAGUAAGGUUCAAAGUAAACUCUACACCAAAGAAAGCCGAGUCAAUGUCUUUGACGAAGCCCAAGAUGUCAGCGAGAGGAAGCAUCAUGGUGACGUCUUUAGCACCGGCGCAAAGCUGGCGGCAAGCAGCGAACCCAAUGUUGAAGUUAGGGUUUUCUGUUGCGUUAAGAUCUAAGUUAAAGUAUUGCCGAAAGAGGGCGCCAGUCACACCAGCUGAUAAGCAAAAAUAUGUAUUUGCUCCUGAUAAGGGAUUCUAAGUUCUGUCUUGUUAUAAUAUUAAUAUACGGUUAGAAAUCAAAAUGGGAACAAAAAAUUAUUGUUAUACUCACCCGAUAAUCCGAAACAUCAAAAUAAUCAAGUAAAAGUCUUGUAAUAAGGUUUCUAUUGGACGUCUUUACAUUCCAAUUAGUGAUUUUAGCUUUGUAUUAUAUUUAAUAUUGUGUCCAAGAGUAAGAAAAUAAACUGAAACAUUAUUUU